GAAAUGCGAUAUGUAAUGCGAAUUGCAGAAUUCAGUGAAUCAUCAAAUCUUUGAACGCAAAUGGCGCUCUCGGGAUAGACCUGGGAGCACGCCUCUCUGAGUAUCGGUUCAACCACAACUCACCAGCGUGCUUGCGAAAGCAUGUCUGUGUGGAAAAUGAGAGUCUGAACUGCUAAGGUUUAGUCUUUUGAAAUAUGUUGAGCUUAGAUCUCCUAGUAUUCGGGCAACCGAUAGCCUGAUUGGCCUUUUCUACUAGUGACGUGGAUAAUAUCACCUUGGUGAUUGAAACGUCUGCUAUACUGAAAAAUCAGUCAAUCUGUGUGAACCAUUAGGAAAUUGACAGCGCAAAAUUGAAUCCGUUGCAGCUUGCUGUAACGUUCUGAAAUUAGAUCUCAGAUGA
RNAcentral lists this unclassified non-coding RNA (400 nucleotides) under uncultured fungus. Its description in RNAcentral is "sequence contains ITS1". The stretch from base 1 to 106 matches the Rfam family "5.8S ribosomal RNA", at positions 50 to 154 of the family's 154-position model. The record is from RNAcentral. Lineage: Eukaryota; Fungi.